Molecule: ribosomal RNA, 467 nt
Filed under: uncultured bacterium
Lineage: Bacteria
Description: partial 16S ribosomal RNA
Rfam family: Bacterial small subunit ribosomal RNA
Source: RNAcentral
GACGAACGCUGGCGGCGUGCUUAACACAUGCAAGUCGAACGGAAAGGCCCUGCUUUUGUGGGGUGCUCGAGUGGCGAACGGGUGAGUAACACGUGAGUAACCUGCCCUUGACUUUGGGAUAACUUCAGGAAACUGGGGCUAAUACCGGAUAGGAGCUCCUGCUGCAUGGUGGGGGUUGGAAAGUUUCGGCGGUUGGGGAUGGACUCGCGGCUUAUCAGCUUGUUGGUGGGGUAGUGGCUUACCAAGGCUUUGACGGGUAGCCGGCCGGAGAGGGUGACCGGCCACAUUGGGACGGAGAUACGGCCCAGACUCCUACGGGAGGCAGCAGUGGGGAAGAUUGAACAGUGGGCGGAAGCCUGAUGCAGCAACGCCGCGUGCGGGAUGACGGCCUUCGGGUUGUAAACCGCUUUCGCCUGUGACGAAGCGUGAGUGACGGUAAUGGGUAAAGAAGCACCGGCUAACUACGU